RNAcentral lists this transfer RNA (72 nucleotides) under Camelus bactrianus (Bactrian camel). It matches the Rfam family "tRNA". From Rfam's summary of the family: Transfer RNA (tRNA) molecules are approximately 80 nucleotides in length. Their secondary structure includes four short double-helical elements and three loops (D, anti-codon, and T loops). Lineage: Eukaryota; Metazoa; Chordata; Mammalia; Artiodactyla; Camelidae. RNAcentral also lists the same sequence under 1 other name. The record is from Rfam by way of RNAcentral.
AGGGAUAUAGCUCAGUGGUAGAGCGCAUGCUUAGCAUGCACGAAGUCCUGGGUUCAAUCCCUAGUACCUCCC